RNA transcript from Myotis lucifugus (little brown bat), 1894 nucleotides. It is a transcript of the gene named coiled-coil domain containing 84, with no coding region annotated. The record is from RefSeq and is a predicted model, not a curated record. The transcript is spliced from 8 exons. Lineage: Eukaryota; Metazoa; Chordata; Mammalia; Chiroptera; Vespertilionidae.
GCCCCGCCCCCAGGGGUGAGGGGUCACGGGUCGCAUAGGACCUGCCGCGCAUCGCUUUCCCACGCCCCGGUCCGAUGGCUCCCGCGCAGCGCUGCCCUCUGUGCCGCCAGACCUUCUUCUGCGGCCGCGGGCACGUCUACAGCCGCAAGCACCGGCGGCAGCUGCAGGCGGCUUUGGACCGGCUCCUGCCCCAGGUGGAGGCCGCCCGCAAGGCCGUCCGCUCGGCGCAGGUGGAGCGGUACGUGCCCGAGCACGAGCGGCGCUGCUGGUGCCUGUGCUGCGGCUGUGAGGUGCGCACACACCUCAGCCACGGGAGCCUGACGGUGCUGCACGGGGGGCUGCUGGAGCACCUGGCCAGCCCAGAGCAUAAGAAAGCAACAAACCGAUUCUGGUGGGAGAACAAGGCUGAGUUUCAGAUGAAAGAGAAGUUUCUCAUCUCCCCUCAAGAGUAUGCACAAUUCAAGAAAUCCAUGGUAAAAGGUUUGGAUUCCUAUGAGGAAAAAGAGGACGAGGUGAUCAAAGAGAUGGCAGCUCAUAUUCGAGAGGUGGAGCACAGCCGGCAGGAGGUGGUUCGGUCCAUCUUAGAGUCUCAGGCAGUGCCAGACCCAGAAGAGGGCUCUUCGGCACCUGGAAGCUGGAAAGGGACAACCAGUCAAAUAACCUCCACCUCACAGUGGCCCUUAUACUUGGACCUGCCACCUGCCCCAGAACUUGACUGGAUGGAGACAGGACAACCUCUGACAUUCAUUGGUCAUCAGGUACAAUGGACAAGCAAGCCAGGAAAGCACAGAUGCCCCUCAGCUCCCAAGACACCCAUCUCUCCCAGGUUUCCUACCCAGUCUGCACUGCAGGGUUUUCUUGCCGAAUUGUUUUCUAGUAGUGUUUCUCACCCUCCAUCCACACCUGUUGUCCCCACCACCACUUAGGAGUACCAACACCCAACUUAUAUCAUCUGGAGAAGCCACUGGUCCAGUUUAUUACCUUCCCAGGUGUCCCACAGGCAUCUGUAAUUAACCCCCUCCUGCAUUUCCAAUAGGCUUAGAUGCAGAUCCUCUCCCCUCCAUCUUCCAAUCCUAUCAAGUAUGUCCAUUUGACCUCAGUACAUUGUUGGUCUCUUGAAAUAGUUCCUAGCCCUCCCCCCUGAAUUCCUAUUUCCGACACACACAAAAUCAUCGCAUCACCUGCUGUCUUGUCUUUUUUUCUAAUUUCAGAGAGGAAGGGAGAGGGACAGAUAUAGAAACAUCAAUGAUGAGAGAGAAUCAUGGAUCGGCUGCCUCCUGCACACCCCAUACUGGGGAUGGAGCCCACAACCGAAGCAUGUGCCCUGACUGGGAAUCAAACCAGUGACCUGGUCAAUGCUCAACCUCUGAGCCACACCAGCCAGGCCUCUCUUUAGUCUUUACUCCAGCUGUACUGUGCUCUUCCCUUUGUGCGCAUGCAGUUGCUGUUGCUUUAAACAUGCUUUCUUUUCCUCAUCACCUAGUUACCUCCAGAUUUUAGCUCAAAUGUCACACUUCCUGGAAGGCUUAUCUGAAGUCAUCUCGUAUAAAUGGACAUAGUACCAUGUAAAAGUCUGUGAAUGUAACUUGUGCUUAUUCUCUUCCCAACAUGUAUGUUGUGAGAAAAGGGUUUUGUUUACCUGGCAUAUAGCAGGCACAUCUUCUCUAUGAAGACCAUGAGUCUCUUGUGGACUGGACUUGCAACGGUUUACUGUGCUCUUAGGAAUUAGCAUCAACAGGGCACAGAAUUAGCAUUGUGGCAUUGGUUCCACCCACCUCCUACAAAGUUUGCCCUUUCUCUAGCUGUGCCACACCGCCCUGGAUGGCCCAAGAUGAGGAACACAGCUCUGGGAACCAACAAAUAGGACCUUCCUAUGAAGAAUUUCUUAAAGAAA